GCCCGGGUGGUGAAAUUGGUAGACGCAGGGGAC
RNAcentral lists this small RNA (33 nucleotides) under Bombyx mori (domestic silkworm). RNAcentral's name for it is "ovarian small RNA-5319". The record is from RNAcentral. Lineage: Eukaryota; Metazoa; Arthropoda; Insecta; Lepidoptera; Bombycidae.